Folsomia candida is the source of this 1391-nucleotide long non-coding RNA. RefSeq lists it as uncharacterized. NCBI's taxonomy places the organism in Eukaryota, Metazoa, Arthropoda, Collembola, Entomobryomorpha, Isotomidae. The transcript is spliced from 2 exons. The record is from RefSeq and is a predicted model, not a curated record.
UUAAUUUUACCAACAGAAAUAUCACAUUUUCUCUACAAUAUAUUGAAUAUUACAAGUUUUCUAAAACACAACGUGCAUGCCGCAUGCAUAAAGUUGCGACGUGAAAGGUGCUUUUUGUAGUUUGACUUUACUGGGUUCUUAUAUUAGUCGUGGGUAUUUGAAUCAGGUGCACGUUUUUCUUUCCUGGCCCUUGAACUAAAAAACAAAUAAUUAAUCUGACACCAAAAAGUGAUGCAAAUUAAUAGUCAUUUAUCUGAAAUAUACUAAACCUACUGGAUGUGUGCAAGAACAAAUUAGUUCCUAAAGUGCAUUUAAGAUUAGUAAAUAAAUAAUGCAUGCAUAAGUGGAAGAAUAGUGGCGGCUUUAAAAAGACUUAAUUUUUAUACGAAAAUAGACCACGAAUUAAGUGAUUAACAAUUAACAAUUAAAGUUAUGGCGCCGUCCCGCACGAUAUGCGGCAAGAUGUUCUCGACACGAAGAAUUUGUGCGAUUCAUGAAGUCACGGUGUGCAACAUGUCACCGGAGAAUGAAAAGAUAACAAAACUUGGAGUGAAGUUCAAAUCUUGUGGGUUUACUGGGUGCAAAAAGCUGUUUUAUCAGUGCAGCGAGACAGAGUUGGAAAGGCACGAGGCCAAGCAUAAGGUGAAACAGGGCCCGGUAAUUGGAUGGUCGUCGCUUGCUAAUCAACAAUUUCCCUGCGCCAAAUGUGGAAAAAGAUUUGCACUCAAGUUUACACGUCAGCGGCAUGAAAAGAGUUGCAACAAGAUAAUGGUGCUCGAUUAAUGGGACUGGUUAUGCAGUUAUUUGAGCUUAUGGGGAAAGAUUUAGGGGAACGUUGCAAAAAAUAUUUUUAUGGUAAAAGUAGAAUUAUUAGAAAUAGAUAGCUAAGACUAGUUGAGUUUCUGAAAAUGUUUAGUUUUUAGAGAAAAAUCGUUGGAUCUGCCUUAAUAAUUUAUUGCUAAAUGGUAGCGUUGACAAAAACUUGUUUACUUUUACUCGCAAAGAUGAUGACAUUUUAAUGUGUAGUUUUAUAUUUUAUAUGAAAUUGCAUACCACAUACACUUAUUUUGGAUCCAUCAUCAAUCUAAUGUUUAGAAAAUUUGUGUAAAUUUUAGAAAACUUGUUAAAGUUGUAAAAUUGACCUGCUCAAAAGUUGAAAUGUGCUUAAUUUUAGGUAAUUGGCAAUCAUAGUUAUACAUAUGCGUAUGUAUGCAAUGUACGCUAACUUUAUUAUGGAGAAGUGGGAUAAAUAUUUACUUAACGUUGCACGUUUCUAAGAGCUUAUCGUUAGUAAUUACACAAUUUAUAUAUGUAUGACUUGAUAAAGAAAUGUUGAUGUAUUUUGCAAAUAAUCAGGUUUUGGACAAUACAGACGUCCUUAAAGAACUGGA